Molecule: unclassified non-coding RNA, 199 nt
Filed under: uncultured Tomentella
Lineage: Eukaryota; Fungi; Basidiomycota; Agaricomycetes; Thelephorales; Thelephoraceae
Description: sequence contains ITS1
Source: RNAcentral
CUGAACUGUUAACACGAGUUGUUGCUGGUCCUCAAAUGGGGGCAUGUGCACGCUCUGUUUACACACCCACUCACACCUGUGCACCCUCUGUAGUUCUGUGGUGUGGAGGGCUCUGUCCUCCCACUGUGGUUCUAUGUUUUUACACACACACUGUGAUAAAGUCUUAUGGAAUGUAUCUCGCGUCUAACGCAAUACAAUA